GACGAACGCUGGCGGCGUGCUUAACACAUGCAAGUCGAACGGAGCGAAUGAAAGCUUGCUUUUAUAAGCUUAGUGGCAAACGGGUGAGUAACACGUAGGCAACCUGCCGACAGGAUGGGGACAACAUUCCGAAAGGAAUGCUAAUACCGAAUGAAGUCGAGGGAGGGCAUCCUCCUCCGAUGAAAGAUGGCCUCUAUAUAUAAGCUAUCACCUGUCGAUGGGCCUGCGUCUGAUUAGCUGGUAGGUGAGGUAACGGCUCACCUAGGCGACGAUCAGUAGCCGGUCUGAGAGGAUGAACGGCCACAUUGGGACUGAGACACGGCCCAGACUCCUACGGGAGGCAGCAGUGGGGAAUCUUCCGCAAUGGGCGCAAGCCUGACGGAGCAACGCCGCGUGAGUGAAGAAGGUCUUCGGAUCGUAAAGCUCUGUUGAUGGGGACGAACGUGCCUAAUGCGAAUA
RNAcentral lists this ribosomal RNA (459 nucleotides) under Centipeda noxia. RNAcentral describes it as "bacterial SSU rRNA". It matches the Rfam family "Bacterial small subunit ribosomal RNA", at positions 28 to 463 of the family's 1533-position model. The record is from RNAcentral. Lineage: Bacteria; Bacillati; Bacillota; Negativicutes; Selenomonadales; Selenomonadaceae.